UGCACAGGCUGUUGGUGUGGAAAAGAGAUUCGAAGGCUACACAUGUGUAUUUUGAUGACAUUGUCAACCUUAUCAAGGAGGAAUCAAUACACAGCAAUCUCAUAGAUGCAUAUGCUGAACUGUUGCAUGAACAACAAGAGGUGGUCAACCCAACUUCGGAUGAAGCCUCAUUGAUCUUCACGAGCAUGUGUUUGAAAGUGAUACGAGAGUACCAUCCUCGCAAAAGGAGUAAACACAUUGAUGCACAUGUCAAAAACUACCAAGGAGAGAGAUACCUACUAUUC
Camellia sinensis is the source of this 284-nucleotide non-coding RNA. The record is from RefSeq and is a predicted model, not a curated record. Lineage: Eukaryota; Viridiplantae; Streptophyta; Magnoliopsida; Ericales; Theaceae.